Molecule: ribosomal RNA, 454 nt
Filed under: uncultured Thauera sp.
Lineage: Bacteria; Pseudomonadati; Pseudomonadota; Betaproteobacteria; Rhodocyclales; Zoogloeaceae
Description: bacterial SSU rRNA
Rfam family: Bacterial small subunit ribosomal RNA
Source: RNAcentral
ACAAGCGGUGGAUGAUGUGGAUUAAUUCGAUGCAACGCGAAAACCUUACCUACCCUUGGCAUGUCUGGAACCUUGGUGAGAGCCGAGGGUGCCUUCGGGAGCCAGAACACAGGUGCUGCAUGGCUGUCGUCAGCUCGUGUCGUGAGAUGUUGGGUUAAGUCCCGCAACGAGCGCAACCCUUGUCAUUAGUUGCCAUCAUUUGUUGGGCACUCUAAUGAGACUGCCGGUGACAAACCGGAGGAAGGUGGGGAUGACGUCAAGUCCUCAUGGCCCUUAUGGGUAGGGCUUCACACGUCAUACAAUGGUCGGUACAGAGGGUUGCCAACCCGCGAGGGGGAGCUAAUCCCACAAAGCCGAUCGUAGUCCGGAUCGCAGUCUGCAACUCGACUGCGUGAAGUCGGAAUCGCUAGUAAUCGUGGAUCAGCAUGUCACGGUGAAUACGUUCCCGGGUCUU